CAACUUUCAGCAGUGGAUGUCUAGCUCGCACAUCGAUGAAAGAAACGCUUGCGAAUUGCAGAAUUCAGUGAGUCAUCGAAAUUUUGAACGCACAUUGCACUUUCGGGUUAUGCCUGGAAGUAUGCCUGUAUCAGUGUCCGUA
Molecule: ribosomal RNA, 142 nt
Filed under: Pythium sp. LVP A
Lineage: Eukaryota; Oomycota; Peronosporomycetes; Pythiales; Pythiaceae
Description: 5.8S ribosomal RNA
Rfam family: 5.8S ribosomal RNA
About the family: 5.8S ribosomal RNA (5.8S rRNA) is a component of the large subunit of the eukaryotic ribosome. It is transcribed by RNA polymerase I as part of the 45S precursor that also contains 18S and 28S rRNA.
Source: RNAcentral